RNAcentral lists this transfer RNA (76 nucleotides) under Nitrosococcus oceani C-27. RNAcentral's name for it is "tRNA-Met". It matches the Rfam family "tRNA". From Rfam's summary of the family: Transfer RNA (tRNA) molecules are approximately 80 nucleotides in length. Their secondary structure includes four short double-helical elements and three loops (D, anti-codon, and T loops). The record is from RNAcentral. Lineage: Bacteria; Pseudomonadati; Pseudomonadota; Gammaproteobacteria; Chromatiales; Chromatiaceae.
UAGCUUGUUGUGAACUAUUGGCUUCGAGGGACUCAUAAUCCCUUGGUCGCAGGUUCGAGUCCUGCUGGGCCCACCA